RNAcentral lists this long non-coding RNA (322 nucleotides) under Rattus norvegicus (Norway rat). RNAcentral's name for it is "long non-coding RNA NONRATT031833". The record is from RNAcentral. Lineage: Eukaryota; Metazoa; Chordata; Mammalia; Rodentia; Muridae.
AGGGAGAUUGCGCGAAGAUGGGAAGACACGGGGGCCAGGAAAAACCAUCCUUCAUGAGCUUGACAGCCCUGGGAGCCGACACAGGGGCUUACUGAACGGGACUAAAGUUUGUUCCCAGGGCCUUGACCUUGGCUACAGCAAGUCUACUUCCCUAUACACACCUUGGUUCUUCAUUUCUGUCCAUCUCUCUGGGAUCAGAAAGCGGGAUCAUGUCUCUAAGACAGUGAAAAGGGAGAGGAAGUUGCAGCAGGCAGCUAGGCUCAAGCAGAUGCAGACUCAAAGCUCGGUGCAUUCACUUUCAUCCUGGGUGGACCCUCCCUGA